Molecule: ribosomal RNA, 446 nt
Filed under: uncultured bacterium
Lineage: Bacteria
Description: partial 16S ribosomal RNA
Rfam family: Bacterial small subunit ribosomal RNA
Source: RNAcentral
CCUACGGGAGGCAGCAGUCGAGAAUCAUUCACAAUGGGGGAAACCCUGAUGGUGCGACGCCGCGUGGGGGAAUGAAGGUCUUCGGAUUGUAAACCCCUGUCAUGUGGGAGCAAAUUAAAAAGAUAGUACCACACGAGGAAGAGACGGCUAACUCUGUGCCAGCAGCCGCGGUAAUACAGAGGUCUCAAGCGUUGUUCGGAAUCACUGGGCGUAAAGCGUGCGUAGGCUGUUUCGUAACUCGUGUGUGAAAGGCGCGGGCUCAACCCGCGGACGGCACAUGAUACUGCGAGACUAGAGUAAUGGAGGGGGAACCGGAAUUCUCGGUGUAGCAGUGAAAUGCGUAGAUAUCGAGCGGAACACUCGUGGCGAAGGCGGGUUCCUGGACAUUAACUGACGCUGAGGCACGAAGGCCAGGGGAGCGAAAGGGAUUAGAUACCCGGGUAGUC